Molecule: ribosomal RNA, 1017 nt
Filed under: uncultured organism
Description: bacterial SSU rRNA
Rfam family: Bacterial small subunit ribosomal RNA
Source: RNAcentral
GAGGAAUAUUGGUCAAUGGACGAGAGUCUGAACCAGCCAAGUAGCGUGAAGGAUGACUGCCCUAUGGGUUGUAAACUUCUUUUAUACGGGAAUAAAGUGAGGCACGUGUGCCUUUUUGUAUGUACCGUAUGAAUAAGGAUCGGCUAACUCCGUGCCAGCAGCCGCGGUAAUACGGAGGAUCCGAGCGUUAUCCGGAUUUAUUGGGUUUAAAGGGAGCGUAGGCGGACGCUUAAGUCAGUUGUGAAAGUUUGCGGCUCAACCGUAAAAUUGCAGUUGAUACUGGGUGUCUUGAGUACAGUAGAGGCAGGCGGAAUUCGUGGUGUAGCGGUGAAAUGCUUAGAUAUCACGAAGAACUCCGAUUGCGAAGGCAGCUUGCUGGACUGUAACUGACGCUGAUGCUCGAAAGUGUGGGUAUCAAACAGGAUUAGAUACCCUGGUAGUCCACACAGUAAACGAUGAAUACUCGCUGUUUGCGAUAUACAGUAAGCGGCCAAGCGAAAGCGUUAAGUAUUCCACCUGGGGAGUACGCCGGCAACGGUGAAACUCAAAGGAAUUGACGGGGGCCCGCACAAGCGGAGGAACAUGUGGUUUAAUUCGAUGAUACGCGAGGAACCUUACCCGGGCUUGAAUUGCAACUGAAUGAUGUGGAGACAUGUCAGCCGCAAGGCAGUUGUGAAGGUGCUGCAUGGUUGUCGUCAGCUCGUGCCGUGAGGUGUCGGCUUAAGUGCCAUAACGAGCGCAACCCUUAUCGAUAGUUACCAUCAGGUUAUGCUGGGGACUCUGUCGAGACUGCCGUCGUAAGAUGUGAGGAAGGUGGGGAUGACGUCAAAUCAGCACGGCCCUUACGUCCGGGGCUACACACGUGCUACAAUGGGGGGUACAGAAGGCAGCUACACGGCGACGUGAUGCUAAUCCCGAAAGCCUCUCUCAGUUCGGAUUGGAGUCUGCAACCCGACUCCAUGAAGCUGGAUUCGCUAGUAAUCGCGCAUCAGCCACGGCGCGGUGAAUACGUUCCCG